Molecule: ribosomal RNA, 512 nt
Filed under: uncultured bacterium
Lineage: Bacteria
Description: bacterial SSU rRNA
Rfam family: Bacterial small subunit ribosomal RNA
Source: RNAcentral
CUCCUACGGGAGGCAGCAGUGGGGAAUAUUGCACAAUGGGGGGAACCCUGAUGCAGCGAUGCCGCGUGAAGGAUGAAGGUUUUCGGAUUGUAAACUUCUAUCAGCAAGGAAGAAAAAGGACAGUACUUGACUAAGCAGCCCCGGCUAACUACGUGCCAGCAGCCGCGGUAAUACGUAGGGGGCAAGCGCUAUCCGGAAUUACUGGGUGUAAAGGGUGCGUAGGCGGCAAUGCAAGUCAGUCGUGAAAGGUAUGGGCUUAACCCGUAAACUGCGAUUGAAACUGCAUAGCUGGAGUGCAGGAGAGGAAAGCGGAAUUCCUAGUGUAGCGGUGAAAUGCGUAGAUAUUAGGAAGAACACCAGUGGCGAAGGCGGCUUUCUGGACUGCAACUGACGCUGAGGCACGAAAGCGUGGGGAGCAAACAGGAUUAGAUACCCUGGUAGUCCACACGGUAAACGAUGAAUACUCGCUGUUUGCGAGAUACGGCAAGCGGCCAAGCGAAAGCGUAGGAUUC